This 429-nucleotide ribosomal RNA is filed under the name Bacteroidota bacterium. Its description in RNAcentral is "Bacteroidetes bacterium partial 16S ribosomal RNA". It matches the Rfam family "Bacterial small subunit ribosomal RNA", at positions 355 to 776 of the family's 1533-position model. Lineage: Bacteria; Pseudomonadati; Bacteroidota. The record is from RNAcentral.
UAGGGAAUCUUCCGCAAUGGACGCAAGUCUGACGGAGCAACGCCGCGUGAGUGAAGAAGGAUUUCGGUUCGUAAAACUCUGUUGUUAGAGAAGAACAGCGCAUAGAGUAACUGUUAUGCGUGUGACGGUAUCUAACCAGAAAGCCACGGCUAACUACGUGCCAGCAGCCGCGGUAAUACGUAGGUGGCAAGCGUUGUCCGGAUUUUUUGGGCGUAAAGCGAGCGCAGGCGGUCAAUUAAGUCUGAUGUGAAAGCCCCCGGCUCAACCGGGGAGGGUCAUUGGAAACUGGUUGACUUGAGUGCAGAAGAGGAGAGUGGAAUUCCAUGUGUAGCGGUGAAAUGCGUAGAUAUAUGGAGGAACACCAGUGGCGAAGGCGACUCUCUGGUCUGUAACUGACGCUGAGGCUCGAAAGCGUGGGUAGCAAACAGG